GUCAUUGGAUUAUUAUAAAAUCUAAAGGCAUAAUUAACUUAACUAUUUUUAUAAUGGGAUCAAUUUUAUAUUUUAUUAUGUAGAAUAUAGAUUCCAUCCCGGGGCGUUCUAUAUAGUUAUGUAUUUUAAUAUAAAUUUUUAUAUUAUAUAUACCUCUAACUAGAGCGUACCUUGAGCAUAUAUGUUGUGACCCGAAAGAUGGUGAACUAUACCUGAUCAGGUUGAAGUCAGGGGAAACCCUGAUGGAAGACCGAAACAGUUCUGACGUGCAAAUCGAUUGUCAGAAUUGGGUAUAGGGGCGAAAGACCAAUCGAACCAUCUAGUAGCUGGUUCCCUCCGAAGUUUCCCUCAGGAUAGCUGGUGCAUUUAAAUAUUAUGUAAAAUAAUCUUAUCUGGUAAAGCGAAUGAUUAGAGGCAUUAGGGCCGAAACGACCUUAACCUAUUCUCAAACUUUAAAUGGGUAAGAACCUCACCUUUCUUGAUAUGAAGGUGUAGGUUAUGAUAUAUUGUGCCCAGUGGGCCACUUUUGGUAAGCAGAACUGGCGCUGUGGGAUGAACCAAACGUGAUGUUACGGCGCCUAAAUUAACAACUCAUACUGAUACCAUGAAAGGCGUUGCUUGCUUAAAACAGCAGGACGGUGGACAUGGAAGUCGUAAUCCGCUAAGGAGUGUGUAACAACUCACCUGCCGAAGCAACUAGCCCUUAAAAUGGAUGGCGCUCAAGUUGUAUGCCUAUACAUUACCGCUAAAGCAUAUGAUUUAUAUGAAUUAAGAGAUUAUUUCUAUAAAUUUUGAAGUUUUAGUGAGUAGGAGGGUACAAUGGUGUGCGUAGAAGUGUUUGGUGUAAACCUGCAUGGAGCCGCCAUUGGCACAGAUCUUGGUGGUAGUAGCAAAUAAUCGAAUGAGACCUUGGAGGACUGAAGUGGAGAAGGGUUUCGUGUGAACAGUGGUUGAUCACGAGUUAGUCGGUCCUAAGUUCAAGGCGAAAGCCGAAUAAUUUUUUUAAGUUAUAUAUGAAAUAUACUUAAGAUGUUGAACGAAAGGGAAUACGGUUCCAAUUCCGUAACCUGUUGAGUAUACGUUUGUUAUUAAAAAUGGGCUUUUAUGCUCAUCCUGGUAACAGAAACAACCAUAAAGAAGCCGUCGAGAGGUAUCGGAAGAGUUUUCUUUUCUGUUUUAUAGUCGUACUACCAUGGAAGUCUUUCGAAGAGAGAUAUGGUAGAUGGGCUAGAAGAGCAUGGCAUUUACUGCUGUGUCGAUAUUUUCUCCUCGGACCUUGAAAAUUUAUGGUAGGGUCACGCAAACUUCUCAACAGGCCGUACCGAUAUCCGCAGCUGGUCUCCAAGGGAAGAGCUCAGC
Molecule: ribosomal RNA, 1359 nt
Filed under: Mydas clavatus
Lineage: Eukaryota; Metazoa; Arthropoda; Insecta; Diptera; Mydidae
Description: eukaryotic LSU rRNA
Rfam family: Eukaryotic large subunit ribosomal RNA
Source: RNAcentral